This 86-nucleotide transfer RNA is filed under the name Candidatus Wildermuthbacteria bacterium. RNAcentral describes it as "tRNA-Leu". It matches the Rfam family "tRNA". From Rfam's summary of the family: Transfer RNA (tRNA) molecules are approximately 80 nucleotides in length. Their secondary structure includes four short double-helical elements and three loops (D, anti-codon, and T loops). Lineage: Bacteria; Candidatus Wildermuthiibacteriota. The record is from RNAcentral.
GCCCCUGUGGCGGAAUUGGCUAGACGCGCUAGGUUUAGGACCUAGUACCGCAAGGUGUGCAGGUUCGACUCCUGCCAGGGGCACUA